AUUGAACGCUGGCGGCAGGCCUAACACAUGCAAGUCGAGCGGAUGAAGGGAGCUUGCUCCUGGAUUCAGCGGCGGACGGGUGAGUAAUGCCUAGGAAUCUGCCUGGUAGUGGGGGAUAACGUCCGGAAACGGGCGCUAAUACCGCAUACGUCCUGAGGGAGAAAGUGGGGGAUCUUCGGACCUUACGCUAUCAGAUGAGCCUAGGUCGGAUUAGCUAGUUGGUGGGGUAAAGGCCUACCAAGGCGACGAUCCGUAACUGGUCUGAGAGGAUGAUCAGUCACACUGGAACUGAGACACGGUCCAGAAUCCUACGGGAGGGAACAGUGGGGAAUAUUGGGCGAUGGGCGAAAGCCUGAUCCAGCCAUGCCGCGUGUGUGAAGAAGGUCUUCGGAUUGUAAAGCACUUUAGGUUGGGAAGAAAGGCAGUAAGUUAAUACCUUGCUGUUUUGGCGUUAACAACAGAAUAAGCACCGGCUAACUUCGUG
This 484-nucleotide ribosomal RNA is filed under the name uncultured bacterium. RNAcentral's name for it is "partial 16S ribosomal RNA". It matches the Rfam family "Bacterial small subunit ribosomal RNA", at positions 30 to 507 of the family's 1533-position model. The record is from RNAcentral.